This 471-nucleotide long non-coding RNA is filed under the name Helianthus annuus (common sunflower). RNAcentral describes it as "hypothetical non coding rna". Lineage: Eukaryota; Viridiplantae; Streptophyta; Magnoliopsida; Asterales; Asteraceae. The record is from RNAcentral.
GGUAGCGAGGUGGUGUAGGUUGAACCCGGUAUUCGCAUCUUGUAGUCUCUCUCAAGCAGUUUGGGACUAUGUAACGAGGCUGAACCCGGUAUUCGCAUUUGGGGCAAAGGACCUGGUGAAUUUACAUCGGGGGUCUCGCAAAUGGAAUAAAAUAGUGUAUAUCAUCCAAACAGAUGGUGAUAAUGUGUAUUAUACAGUUAAUCGAGUGGUGUGUAUGCAUGUUGAUGAGAAACUUCCAGCCCCUACACUUGAAGUAUUAGCGAAAAUAAGUGUGGAAAGUCAGGUCUGUGUUGAUGGUGUUUUGUGAAAUCGAUUGCAGGUUCGUGUUAAUAAUAGGUGGUUGGUUUGAAAUCGGAAUUACCUAAUAGCACAAGUGCUGUUAUAACAUUGGGUAGAACAGAACAGAACAGAACAGAGGUGUAUAGGUUUAUUAGUCAGUUCAAGAAUCUUAUUUAAAAUUAAUUAAUAUUC